This 433-nucleotide ribosomal RNA is filed under the name uncultured bacterium. Its description in RNAcentral is "partial 16S ribosomal RNA". It matches the Rfam family "Bacterial small subunit ribosomal RNA", at positions 29 to 507 of the family's 1533-position model. The record is from RNAcentral.
AACGAACGCUGGCGGCAUGCCUAACACAUGCAAGUCGAACGAGACCUUCGGGUCUAGUGGCGCACGGGUGCGUAACGCGUGGGAACCUGCCCUUAGGUUCGGAAUAACUCCCCGAAAGGGGUGCUAAUACCGGAUAAUGUCUUCGGACCAAAGAUUUAUCGCCUUUGGAUGGGCCCGCGUUGGAUUAGCUAGUUGGUAGGGUAAAAGCCUACCAAGGCGACGAUCCAUAGCUGGUCUGAGAGGAUGAGCAGCCACACUGGGACUGAGACACGGCCCAGACUCCUACGGGAGGCAGCAGUGGGGAAUAUUGGACUAUGGGCGAAAGCCUGAUCCAGCAAUGCCGCGUGAGUGAUGAAGGCCUUAGGGUUGUAAAGCUCUUUUACCCGGGAUGAUAAUGACAGUACCGGGAGAAUAAGCUCCGGCUAACUCCGUG